This 913-nucleotide ribosomal RNA is filed under the name uncultured archaeon. Its description in RNAcentral is "bacterial SSU rRNA". It matches the Rfam family "Archaeal small subunit ribosomal RNA", at positions 1 to 921 of the family's 1478-position model. The record is from RNAcentral.
UUCCGGUUGAUCCCGCCGGACCUGACUGCUAUCGGAUUAAUACUAAGCCAUGCGAGUCUUUGUAGUAAUACAAGGCAUACGGCUCAGUAACACGUAGUCAACCUACCCUAUGGACGAGGAUAAUCUCGGGAAACUGAGCAUAAUACUCGAUAGAUCAUAAUGCCUGGAAUGGUUUAUGGUUGAAAUGAUUCAUCGCCAUAGGAUGGGACUGCGGCCUAUCAGCUUGUUGGUGAGGUAAUGGCCCACCAAGGCGAUUACAGGUACGGGCUCUGAGAGGAGAAGCCCGGAGAUGGGUACUGAGACAAGGACCCAGGCCCUAUGGGGCGCAGCAGGCGAGAAAACUUUGCAAUGUGCGAAAGCACGACAAGGUUAGUCCGAGUGAUUUCUGCUAAAGAGAUCUUUUGCAAGUUCUAAAACCACUAGUGAAUAAGGGGUGGGCAAGUUCUGGUGUCAGCCGCCGCGGUAAAACCAGCACCUCGAGUGGUCAGGAGGAUUAUUGGGCCUAAAGCAUCCGUAGCCGGCUCUGUAAGUUUUCGGUUAAAUCCAUGCGCUCAACGCAUGGGCUGUCGGAAAUACUGCAUAGCUAGGGAGUGGGAGAGGUAGACGGUACUCGGUAGGAAGGGGUAAAAUCCUUUGAUCUAUCGAUGACCACCUGUGGCGAAGGCGGUCUACCAGAACACGUUCGACGGUGAGGGAUGAAAGCUGGGGGAGCAAACCGGAUUAGAUACCCGGGUAGUCCCAGCUGUAAACGAUGCAGACUCGAUGAUGCAUUGGCAUAUAGCCAGUGCAGUGUCGCAGGGAAGCCGUUAAGUCUGCCGCCUGGGAAGUACGUACGCAAGUAUGAAACUUAAAGGAAUUGGCGGGGGAGCACCACAAGGGGUGAAGCCUGCGGUUCAAUUGGAGUCAACGCCGG